UAGCGGCGCGCUUAAUGCAUGCAAGUCGAGCGAUGAGGCCCUCUUCGGAGGGUACAUCAGCGGCAGACGGGUGAGUAACACGUAGGUGACCUGCCCUAAAGCUGGGGAUAACGGAUGGAAACAUACGCUAAUACCCAAUAGACCUGUGAGGUCGCACUCAUAGGUAAAGCUCCGGCGCUUUAGGAGGGGCCUGCGGCCCAUCAGCUAGUUGGUAGGGUAACGGCCUACCAAGGCGAAGACGGGUAGGGGGUGUGAGAGCACGACCCCCCACAAUGGGACUGAGACACGGCCCAUACUUCUACGGGAGGCAGCAGCAGGGAAUAUUGCACAAUGGACGCAAGUCUGAUGCAGCGACGCCGCGUGGAUGAUGAAGGCCCUCGGGUCGUAAAAUCCUUUUCAGGGGGACGAGGAAGGACGGUACCCCUGGAAUAAGCGUCGGCUAACUACGUGCCAGCAGCCGCGGUAAGACGUAGGACGCAAGCGUUAUCCGGAUUUACUGGGCGUAAAGCGUCUGUAGGCGGUUCGAUAAGUUGGGCGUGAAAGCUCCGGGCUUAACCCGGAGAGGUCGUUCAAUACUGUCGAACUAGAGGACAUCAGAGGAGCAUGGAAUUUCCGGUGUAGCGGUAAAAUGCGCAGAUAUCGGAAGGAACACCAGUGGCGAAGGCGGUGCUCUGGGGUGGGCCUGACGCUGAGAGACGAAAGCUAGGGGAGCGAACAGGAUUAGAGACCCUGGUAGUCCUAGCCCCUAAACGAUGGAUGCUAGGUGUGGGG
This 771-nucleotide ribosomal RNA is filed under the name uncultured organism. RNAcentral describes it as "bacterial SSU rRNA". It matches the Rfam family "Bacterial small subunit ribosomal RNA", at positions 37 to 827 of the family's 1533-position model. The record is from RNAcentral.